Molecule: ribosomal RNA, 492 nt
Filed under: uncultured bacterium
Lineage: Bacteria
Description: partial 16S ribosomal RNA
Rfam family: Bacterial small subunit ribosomal RNA
Source: RNAcentral
AGUGAACGCUGGCGGUAUGCCUAACACAUGCAAGUCGAACGGCAGCACACUAAGAGCUUGCUCUUACGGGUGGCGAGUUGCGUACGGGUGAGGUAUACAUCGGACUCUACUUUUUCGUGGGUGAUAACGUAUGGAAACUUACGCUAAUACCGCAUACGACCUACGGGUGAAAGCAGGGGAUCUUCGUACCUUGCGCGAUUGAAUGAGCCGAUGUCGGAUUAGCUAGUUGGCGGGGUAAAGGCCCACCAAGGCGACGAUCCGUAGCUGGUCUGAGAGGAUGAUCAGGCACACUGGAGCUGAGACACGGUCCAGACUCCUGCGGGAGGCAGCAGUGGGGAAUAUUGGAGCAAGGGCGCAAGCCUGAUCCAGCAAUACCGCGUGGGUGAAGAAGGCCUUCGGGCUGUAAAGCCCUUUUGUUGGGAAAGAAAAGCAGCAGGUUAAUACCCCGCUGUUCUGACGGUACCAAAAGAAUAAGCACCGGCUAACUUCGUG